CAUUGCGCAUUCUUAGCGGCGGACGGGUGAGUAACACGUGGGUAACCUGCCUCAAAGUGGGGGAUAGCCUUUCGAAAGGAAGAUUAAUACCGCAUAAGCUUGUAGCAUCGCAUGGUGCAGCAAGAAAAGGAGCAAUCCGCUUUGAGAUGGACCCGCGGCGCAUUAGCUAGUUGGUGAGGUAACGGCUCACCAAGGCGACGAUGCGUAGCCGACCUGAGAGGGUGAUCGGCCACAUUGGAACUGAGACACGGUCCAGACUCCUACGGGAGGCAGCAGUGGGGAAUAUUGCACAAUGGACGAAAGUCUGAUGCAGCAACGCCGCGUGGAGGAUGACACAUUUCGGUGCGUAAACUCCUUUUAUAUAGGAAGAUAAUGACGGUACUAUAUGAAUAAGCACCGGCUAACUCCGUGCCA
Molecule: ribosomal RNA, 414 nt
Filed under: uncultured bacterium
Lineage: Bacteria
Description: bacterial SSU rRNA
Rfam family: Bacterial small subunit ribosomal RNA
Source: RNAcentral